GAUGAACGCUGGCGGCGUGCCUAAUACAUGCAAGUCGAGCGAACAGACGAGGAGCUUGCUCCUCUGACGUUAGCGGCGGACGGGUGAGUAACACGUGGAUAACCUACCUAUAAGACUGGGAUAACUUCGGGAAACCGGAGCUAAUACCGGAUAAUAUAUUGAACCGCAUGGUUCAAUAGUGAAAGACGGUUUUGCUGUCACUUAUAGAUGGAUCCGCGCCGCAUUAGCUAGUUGGUAAGGUAACGGCUUACCAAGGCAACGAUGCGUAGCCGACCUGAGAGGGUGAUCGGCCACACUGGAACUGAGACACGGUCCAGACUACUACGGGAGGCAGCAGUAGGGAAUCUUGCGCAAUGGGCGAAAGUCUGAAGGAGCAACGCCGCGUGAGUGAUGAAGGUCUUCGGAUAGUAAAACUCUGUUAUUAGGGAAGAACAAAUGUGUAAGUAACUAUGCACGUCUUGACGGUACCUAAUCAGAAAGCCACGGCUAACUACGUG
Molecule: ribosomal RNA, 497 nt
Filed under: uncultured bacterium
Lineage: Bacteria
Description: partial 16S ribosomal RNA
Rfam family: Bacterial small subunit ribosomal RNA
Source: RNAcentral